UGUAUAGCAAUAGCUACUUGCAUCAUUGUACAGAUGAUGCAAGAUCGACUAUGUCGAAUAAAAUUCUAGGUAGAAUUAUGAUAAUGACAUUGUCUGCCUAUGUGUCUUGACCAAAUUACGUGCCAGCAGUCGCGGUAAUACGUAGAAGACUAGUGUUAUUCAUGUUUAAUCGGUUUAAAGGGUACCUAGACGGUAGAUCAAGCUUUUUCAUAUAAAUUCUGAUAAUAAAAGGGACUAAUUUGCUAGAGUUACUUACGAGGGGGUAUUAAAGUACUGCUGGUGUAGAGAUGAAAUUCUGUCAUACCUCUUUUCGAAAGAAAAAUCAUGGCACAGGUAUAGGCGAAGGCAUCCCCUUAUGUGAUAACUGACGUUGAGGGACGAAGGCUUCGUGUAACAAACAGGAUUAGAUACCCUAGUAGUUGGAGCAGAAAAUGAUGAAUGUCAUAGAUUAGAUAUAUAAGUUUAUUCUAUAAAUGAAAGUGUAAGCAUUCCACCUCAUGAGUAAUUUGGCAACAUUGGAAUUGAAAUCAUUAGACCGUUUCUGAAACCAGUAGUGAAGUAUGUUGUUUAAUUUGAUAGUCCGCAAAAAACCUUACCACAAUUUGAAUAUUUAUAUUUUUUUUUAUUGUUUUCUUCUUAAUUUUCUUCUAAUUACAUAUUCAGCAUGUAAAAACAAGAAAGUUAAUAAAAAGACAAUAAUAUAUAUUUACAAGCGUUGCACGGCUGUCUUCAGUUAAUGUCGCGAGACUUUGGUUAGUUCCAUUAAAUUAACGUAAACCCUUACUUUAUUUUUAUAUAGAGUAGUUCCCCGCU
Molecule: ribosomal RNA, 813 nt
Filed under: Punctelia subrudecta
Lineage: Eukaryota; Fungi; Ascomycota; Lecanoromycetes; Lecanorales; Parmeliaceae
Description: SSU rRNA
Rfam family: Bacterial small subunit ribosomal RNA
Source: RNAcentral